GUUUUCAAAUUGGUCUACAUUAAGGUCCAAAGGGUCCAAAAUUAAACUUAGUUUGAUUUUGACAAAAAAUGAAUCGGUUGGGUUCUUUGAUAUGUUUGAAUCUAAAAAUGUUACUUAGAUUCUUGAUUAUUGAAGUUUUUUUGGUCCAGUUUUCAAAUUGGUCUACAUUAAGGUCCAAAGGGUCCAAAUUAAACUUUGUUUGAUUUCAUCAAAAAUUGUAUCCUUGGGGUUCUUUGAUAUGCCAAAUCUAACUGUGUAUGUAGAUUCUUCAUUUUUGGUCCUGUUUUCAAAUUUCAAAUUCUACAUUAAAGUCCAAAGGGUCCAAAAUUAAACUAAGUUUGAUUUUAACAAAAAUUGAAUUCUUGGGCCUCUUUGAUAUGCUGAAUCUAAACAUGUACUUAGAUUUUUGAUUAUGGGCCCAGUUUUCAAGUUGGUCCAAAUCAGGAUCUCAAAUUAUUAUAUUAAGUAUUGUGCAAUAGCAAGUCUUUUCAAUUGCACAGUAUUGUGCAAUGGCAAGAAAUAUCUAAUUGCACAAUAUUGUGAAAUAGCAAU
Molecule: long non-coding RNA, 552 nt
Filed under: Mytilus galloprovincialis (Mediterranean mussel)
Lineage: Eukaryota; Metazoa; Mollusca; Bivalvia; Mytilida; Mytilidae
Source: RNAcentral